ACGACGACAUCGACAUCUCCGACAACCAACGUCAUCUCGUGAAAUCAACACCACUGCCGGAUUCCAACCUCCUUCGACGAACAUAGGACUUUUUUCCCGUCAGCCAUCGUCUCCUCCUUUCCCCACCGAGUUCUCUUUUUCUCGACAUGGAGAAGAUGGAGCUUGCCUUUCGAUGACAAAAUCAAACUCAGAUUCUGACUACUUUGAUGGCUACCUCCGGCGAAAGCAACUGCAAACCUUCACCUUUUCUUGGUUGCUCUCCGUUCUGGUGAAACAAGAGACUUCUCUUCGUCUCUCAUCCAGGCCUCUCGUCCGUGACACAUCACAACAUCACAAUCAUCUUCACCAUCAAUUAACUCCGGCUGCGUUUAACUCCGCCGAAUCGGACCGCCACCAUCACCGCACAACUCAUGUCUCCAUUGGUGAGCUCCACCUCUUUUCCCGCGAAUCCGACCAUUGAUUCCUCUGCAAAUCUCAGGUUUCUUCCGACGAGCUCCAUCUUCCACUGUCACUUCCAGAAAUCCAAAGUUUUCUCGCUGAAACUUUCAUGGAACCUAUCACUUUCUAACACGGCUCCAAAAUAUUCCGAGGUAGCUUCUUCACAGUCCUGCAAGAUCAAGUCACAAACACUAGGACUGUUUCUCCAAUGAACAACGAAGCCUUCAUCUGUUAAGAUGAGCUCCGCUCCUUUGAUGAACUGGUGUUCUUUUUCUCCUUGAUGACUUCAGAAACUCCACAUGGAAUCAGAAUCUGCAGCUCCACCUGGAAUAUAAGUCUCCUCACCGUAUUUCCAGGCGCCUACAGCGUACAAUAUCGAUAGUGGAGUUACCUGGAGCUGUGUCGUCCUCCUUACGAUGUUGAGGAGAUCGUAGCAAGCAUGAAAGUCCUCUCCAUCUAUUGCUUGAGUCAUAACAUCUGUUGGUUCAAUUGUUUUUAGUAUCUUGUUUAGGACAACAUCUCCUUUGGAUACCAAAUCUGUGAUGAUCUGAAAUCUUGUGUCCAUAAGUUCGGUUCCCGAUUCCUUCCCUUCUGUAGUUAAGCUCAUUAAUCUGAAAUGAGAUGUAGUUGGUACC
Molecule: small RNA, 1073 nt
Filed under: Arabidopsis thaliana (thale cress)
Lineage: Eukaryota; Viridiplantae; Streptophyta; Magnoliopsida; Brassicales; Brassicaceae
Description: ncRNA (AT1G11592)
Source: RNAcentral